AUCCAGCUGACCAGUCCCAAAUAGGACGAAGCGCGCGUCCUGGAU
This is a non-coding RNA of Schistosoma mansoni, 45 nucleotides long. Lineage: Eukaryota; Metazoa; Platyhelminthes; Trematoda; Strigeidida; Schistosomatidae. The record is from Rfam.